This 76-nucleotide transfer RNA is filed under the name Candidatus Nitrosocaldaceae archaeon. RNAcentral's name for it is "tRNA-Glu". It matches the Rfam family "tRNA". From Rfam's summary of the family: Transfer RNA (tRNA) molecules are approximately 80 nucleotides in length. Their secondary structure includes four short double-helical elements and three loops (D, anti-codon, and T loops). Further hydrogen bonds mediate the characteristic L-shaped molecular structure. tRNAs have two regions of fundamental functional importance: the anti-codon, which is responsible for specific mRNA codon recognition, and the 3' end, to which the tRNAs corresponding amino acid is attached (by aminoacyl-tRNA synthetases). tRNAs cope with the degeneracy of the genetic code in two manners: having more than one tRNA (with a specific anti-codon) for a particular amino acid; and 'wobble' base-pairing, i.e. permitting non-standard base-pairing at the 3rd anti-codon position. The record is from RNAcentral. RNAcentral also lists the same sequence under 1 other name. Lineage: Archaea; Thermoproteati; Nitrososphaerota; Nitrososphaeria; Candidatus Nitrosocaldales; Candidatus Nitrosocaldaceae.
GCUCCGGUGGUGUAGUCCGGUUAAGCAUAGCGGCCUCUCGAGCCGCUGAUCCCGGGUUCAAAUCCCGGCCGGAGCA